This is a long non-coding RNA of Ceratitis capitata (Mediterranean fruit fly), 573 nucleotides long. RefSeq lists it as uncharacterized. NCBI's taxonomy places the organism in Eukaryota, Metazoa, Arthropoda, Insecta, Diptera, Tephritidae. The transcript is spliced from 4 exons. The record is from RefSeq and is a predicted model, not a curated record.
AAAAUUAUUGUCAUAGUACAAGCUUCCAUGAGAAAAAGGAUUUGUGUAGUCACCAUCGUCUACCGGCUGUAUACCCCAUACGAAGCGCAAAGGGAUACAUUUAAUCAGUUAAUUUGAAAAUGGGAACUGUCUGGCAGCUGCAAGCCUGAUGCCACCAAUACAAAAGGGACCUAAUGAGGAAGAGCAGCUAUUGAUAAUGUGACGAACGUUUUCAAUCAUCAUAAAUUUCCACUGUUGCCGUUCAUUAUAUCAGUAAGUGUAACAAUCUUAACAUGAACUCAGCUAGUCUAUAAGUAAGGAAGGAAUAUCAAUGAGUAAAUAAAAAUACUUCAAAUGAAAUACGAUGAAGAUUUAAUAGUAUUUUUGAACUAAAUAAUAUAGGUUUGUUCUUAAAAUUAGAGCUGUUCAUGUUCGACAGGUCAUUCGGAAGAGAGUAAAUACAUUAAGUGGAAGUGAGCAUAAAUGUAUGCUGAAGUGCCUAAUUCGAUUCCAUUUAUUGCUGGGUGUUCACUGAUAAUAUUUGGAUUGCAUCAAAAAACAAAAAAUAAACACAUUCUGUUAAACUCUUAACAU